AGUGAACGCUGGCGGUAGGCCUAACGCAUGCAAGUCGAACGGCAGCACAGUAAGAGCUUGCUCUUACGGGUGGCGAGUGGCGGACGGGUGAGGAAUACAUCGGAAUCUACUUUUUCGUGGGGGAUAACGUAGGGAAACUUACGCUAAUACCGCAUACGACCUACGGGUGAAAGCAGGGGAUCUUCGGACCUUGCGCGAUUGAAUGCGCCGAUGUCGGAUUAGCUAGUUGGCGGGGUAAAGGCCCACCAAGGCGACGAUCCGUAGCUGGUCUGAGAGGAUGAUCGGCCACACUGGAACUGAGACACGGUCCAGACUCCUACGGGAGGCAGCAGUGGGGAAUAUUGGACAAUGGGCGCAAGCCUGAUCCAGCCAGACCGCGUGGGUGAAGAAGGCCUUCGGGUUGUAAAGCCCUUUUGUUGGGAAAGAAAAGCAGCAGGUUAAUACCCCGCUGUUCUGACGGUACCCAAAGAAUAAGCACCGGCUAACUUCGUG
RNAcentral lists this ribosomal RNA (492 nucleotides) under uncultured bacterium. Its description in RNAcentral is "partial 16S ribosomal RNA". It matches the Rfam family "Bacterial small subunit ribosomal RNA", at positions 29 to 507 of the family's 1533-position model. The record is from RNAcentral.